CUCAGAACGAACGCUGGCGGCAUGCCUACCACAUGCAAGUCGAACGCGUGUACCAUUACACGAGUGGCAGACGGGAGAAUAACGCGUGAGAACCUGCCCUUGAUUGCAGGAUAACCGAGGGAAACUUCGGCUAAUACCGCAUGCGCCCGGAGCAAUCCAGGGAAAGAUUAAGCUCUCGAGGAGGGGCCCGCGUCUGAUUAGCUAGUUGGUGGGGUAACGGCCUACCAAGGCGAUGAUCCGCUAGCUGGUCUGACAAGAUGAUCAGCCACUCUGGGACUGACACACGGCCCACACUCCUACGGGAGGCAACAUUGGG
This 316-nucleotide ribosomal RNA is filed under the name uncultured Alphaproteobacteria bacterium. RNAcentral's name for it is "bacterial SSU rRNA". It matches the Rfam family "Bacterial small subunit ribosomal RNA", at positions 23 to 358 of the family's 1533-position model. The record is from RNAcentral. Lineage: Bacteria; Pseudomonadati; Pseudomonadota; Alphaproteobacteria.